Xyrauchen texanus (razorback sucker) is the source of this 486-nucleotide long non-coding RNA. RefSeq lists it as uncharacterized. Lineage: Eukaryota; Metazoa; Chordata; Actinopteri; Cypriniformes; Catostomidae. The transcript is spliced from 3 exons. The record is from RefSeq and is a predicted model, not a curated record.
CAUCUAGUUUUCCCCAACAUGACUCUGCUGCUGAAGACAUAUGGCAAACUUCCGGUGUCCACAGCAACUGUGGGAACGUUCCUUCUCAAAACUGAAGCUUGUGAAAACCAAACUUCGCAGCCUUUGCAAAGAGGAGAGAUUGUCUGACCUUCUUCUGUUGGCCAUUGAGAAGGACAUUCCAAUAAAUGACAAUAAUGUCAUUAACAGUUUUAGGGACAUGGCCAACAGGAAAUUUCUGUUAUAAAAGUCUACAACAACUCAUCCUCCACUUAUUGCUCUUGGUGUGCAGCAGCCUCUGUGAGCAUCUCCCUCUUAUUUUCUUGGAGCAGUCAGCCUUGGCAGUCUCUCAGAUCAACUCCAGUAUUAGCAGCAGCAACAACAACAGCAAAGGCAGCAUACUCACUCAAGGAAUUUAGUAAGAUUUUACCAGAACAGGUAUCACAUUAAUGUAAAAAAUCUGUUGUAUUUGCUGUAAAAUAAAAUUGC